CCGUGAGUUACAGCGAAACUUUAAAAAGACUAUAAUUUUAUCUACGAAUACCAGUUUACGAGCUACAAAUUCUAGGCUAGUCAAGGGACCAUUGGCUAGGUGCUUUUCGAGAGUUUUAGAGGAAAGUUUCCCUGUACCAUUACCAGAUGAUUCGGAGCAAAGCACGAUAGAAAAAGACCAAGAAGAAGAGGAAGACCCC
RNAcentral lists this long non-coding RNA (199 nucleotides) under Olea europaea (common olive). RNAcentral describes it as "long non-coding RNA (OEUR_LNC014280)". Lineage: Eukaryota; Viridiplantae; Streptophyta; Magnoliopsida; Lamiales; Oleaceae. The record is from RNAcentral.